GAUGAACGCUGGCGGCGUGCCUAAUACAUGCAAGUCGAGCGAACGGACGAGACUCUUGCUUCUCUCAUGUUAGCGGCGGACGGGUGUGUAACACGUGUAUCACCUACCUAUAUGACUGGUAUAACUUCGGGAAACCGUAUCUUAUCCCGGAUAAUCUUCUGCACCGCAUUGUUCAAUAGUGAAAGACGGUCUUUCUGUCACUUCUAGCUGCAUCCGAGCUGCAUUAGCUAGUUGGUAAGGUAACGGCUUUCCACGGCGACGAUGCAUAGCCGACCUGAGAGGGUGAUCGGCGGCACUGGAAGGGAGACACGGACAAGAGGACUACGGGAGGCAGCAGUAGGGAAUCGUACGCAAUGGGCGAAAGCCUGACGGAGCAACGCCGAGUGAGAGAUGAAGGUGUUCGGAUCGUAAAGCUCGGUUAUGAGGGAAGAACAGAUGUGGAAGUAAAUGUGCACAGAGUGACGGUACCUAAUCAGAAAGCAACGGCUAACUACGUG
RNAcentral lists this ribosomal RNA (497 nucleotides) under uncultured bacterium. RNAcentral's name for it is "partial 16S ribosomal RNA". It matches the Rfam family "Bacterial small subunit ribosomal RNA", at positions 28 to 507 of the family's 1533-position model. The record is from RNAcentral.